CGGGUGAGUAACGCGUGAGCAACCUGUCCCUUACAGGGGGAUAACACAGCGAAAGUUGUACUAAUACCGCAUAAGACCACGGCAGGACAUCCUGCAGGGGUCAAAGGAGCAAGUCCGGUAAGGGGUGGGCUCGCGUCCGAUUAGAUAGUUCGGUGAGGUAACGGCCCACCAAGUCGACGAUCGGUAGCCGACCUGAGAGGGUGAUCGGCCACAUUGGGACUGAGACACGGCCCAAACUCCUACGGGAGGCAGCAGUGGGGAAUAUUGGGCAAUGGGGGAACCCUUGACCCAGCAACGCCGCGUAGAGGGAAGAAGGUUUUCGGAUCGUAAACCUCUGUCCUUGGUGAAGAGUAUGAGACGGUAGCCAAGGAGGAAGCCCCGGCUAACUACGUGCCAGCAGCGGC
Molecule: ribosomal RNA, 404 nt
Filed under: uncultured bacterium
Lineage: Bacteria
Description: bacterial SSU rRNA
Rfam family: Bacterial small subunit ribosomal RNA
Source: RNAcentral